Molecule: ribosomal RNA, 429 nt
Filed under: Bacteroidota bacterium
Lineage: Bacteria; Pseudomonadati; Bacteroidota
Description: Bacteroidetes bacterium partial 16S ribosomal RNA
Rfam family: Bacterial small subunit ribosomal RNA
Source: RNAcentral
UAGGGAAUCUUCCGCAAUGGACGCAAGUCUGACGGAGCAACGCCGCGUGAGUGAAGAAGGAUUUCGGUUCGUAAAACUCUGUUGUUAGAGAAGAACAGCGCAUAGAGUAACUGUUAUGCGUGUGACGGUAUCUAACCAGAAAGCCACGGCUAACUACGUGCCAGCAGCCGCGGUAAUACGUAGGUGGCAAGCGUUGUCCGGAUUUAUUGGGCGUAAAGCGAGCGCAGGCGGUCAAUUAAGUCUGAUGUGAAAGCCCCCGGCUCAACCGGGGAGGGUCAUUGGAAACUGGUUGACUUGAGUGCAGAAGAGGAGAGUGGAAUUCCAUGUGUAGCGGUGAAAUGCGUAGAUAUAUGGAGGAACACAAGUGGCGAAGGCGACUCUCUGGUCUGUAACUGACACUGAGGCUCGAAAGCGUGGGUAGCAAACAGG